GGCAUUUGGUAAAAGGGGGCCGUGGGGCUUCUUCCUGAGCACAUAGGCCUGCCCACCCUUCUGAAGAUAAAAGGUUGGAUUUGACUGUCCUGAGCUGUACUGCCUGACGGACAGAGCCCCCGCGGGCUGCUGGGGGAAGCCGUGAAGGCAGCGGCACAGGUACCGCUCUAGGCUGCCCUGGUCGAAGCGGUGCUGCCGCCGCACCUCGCUGGUGCCCGGCUCCACAGCCAUCCCCGCG
RNAcentral lists this long non-coding RNA (238 nucleotides) under Gallus gallus (chicken). Lineage: Eukaryota; Metazoa; Chordata; Aves; Galliformes; Phasianidae. The record is from RNAcentral.